CACACUUUUCAUUUAGUGGAAAAUUCAGUUUUCAAAUUUGGCAGAAAGUGGUAUAGGUGGGAUUAUAUUUUAUUUGAAGUUUCCGUUUUCCAGGGAAAAAGAAUUUGCAAUCAGCAGAUCCCAGCCUGGUAUAAGAAUUUUUGAAAUGUUUUACAGGUGAUGAUGAACAGUCUACACAGAUGGCUGCAAGUUGGGAAGAUGAUAAAGUUACAGAAGCAUCUUCAAACAGUUUUGUUGCUAUUAAAAUCGAUACCAAAAGUGAAGCCUGCCUACAGUUUUCACAAAUCUAUCCGGUAGUGUGUGUUCCAUCCAGUUUCUUUAUUGGAGACAGUGGAAUUCCCUUGGAAGUAAUAGCAGGAAGUGUUUCUGCAGAUGAACUUGUUACAAGAAUUCACAAAGUCCGACAGAUGCAUUUGCUAAAAAGUGAAACAUCAGUAGCAAAUGGCAGUCAGUCAGAAAGUUCAGUGUCUACUCCAUCUGCCUCAUUUGAACCUAACAACACUUGUGAAAACUCUCAGUCAAGAAAUGCAGAGCUUUGUGAGAUACCAC
This 549-nucleotide small RNA is filed under the name Pongo abelii (Sumatran orangutan). Its description in RNAcentral is "retained intron". The record is from RNAcentral. Lineage: Eukaryota; Metazoa; Chordata; Mammalia; Primates; Hominidae.